CCAGUGGCAUACAUUGAUCUACUAUAAGUUUUUUUGAUGAAAGGGGAACACCAAGGUAUUUAAAAGGUAGUCCUUCUUCUCUAUAGCCCAGAUAGUCAAGGAUAUAUUGCUUUACCUGAUGUUUGGCACCUAAGAAAUAAACUGAACUCUUAUUAAUAUUUCCUGUAAACCUAAAGCCCUAAAAAACCUAUAAAAAUCCCCCUGAAUGAGUGUGACUAAAUUGAGAUCAGCUUUGCAGAAUAAGAGUAAGUCAUUUUUAAAGCAGAUGUGCUUAAUUCUAAAAAAAAUUCAUCUAGGGUGGUAUUGAAAGACUUUGUCCUUGUCCAUCCAGUUCAGUUCCCUAUUUAAGUACUCCAUAGCUAUUAUAAAAAGGUAAGGUGACAUAGAUCACCUUGACCUAUGCCUCUCCC
RNAcentral lists this long non-coding RNA (410 nucleotides) under Capsicum annuum. RNAcentral's name for it is "long non-coding RNA (CANN_LNC009771)". Lineage: Eukaryota; Viridiplantae; Streptophyta; Magnoliopsida; Solanales; Solanaceae. The record is from RNAcentral.